UGAAAAGCCGCUUUUAACUUUUUAGUAUCAAUUUCUCCUCAAGUCCAUCGAAGACAUAAAAAUCAUCCAACUAUUUUGCCAUCAGCAAAGCAAUCAAUGCAAAUUUUUCAUCACCUACUUGCCAACUUAUUACAUAAAAGGAAAAAAAAUGGCAAAACCCAUAAACAAACAUGAACCUGAGGCACAAAAAGAAGACAUAUAUAUUACCCUUUAAAAGGAAUACAAUACAAGAUGAAGUAUAUUCAGUUCACAAGCAGAAAUACAGAAAAGACAGAGCACUUAUAGUGAAGCAGAAUCACUACAAAUAACACCUCAAUAUCAAGUACUAAGAAGAGAAGGGUUAGCAGUUGCAGUACCCACUUGGACUUCGAGGGCCUCCAGACGUCGCUCCAGCGUAUCCAGCUUCUCAUUGAGCGAAGCCAACUUACUCUUGGUAGUAGCCUCAAAUUGGAGGAGGAAUUCGAAGAGACGACGAACAUUGAGGGAAAUGUGAGAGAUGAAUUCGCGAUUUUCCCAAUCGGCUUGCACUGCUAUCCCUACAUUGACAGCGUUUGUUAUACCUCCUGCUCUUGCCAUUCUCUCCACUGCUUCGAUCUAAUUCUGUUGAGACCAAACAAUUCUUGUUAAUUUCUGAUUAUGUUUUGUUUUCUGCUCAGUAGUUGUUGGUCGGUUGACUUUGUUUUUUUACUUUUUCCCUAAAAUGCUUUUAUAUUAAUCUGAUCUUUGAAGGCAAGCUCCCAUUAUUUACCCCAAAAUUGACAUUCGUGUAACAACCUUAUUUUUU
RNAcentral lists this unclassified non-coding RNA (784 nucleotides) under Hevea brasiliensis (rubber tree). The record is from RNAcentral. Lineage: Eukaryota; Viridiplantae; Streptophyta; Magnoliopsida; Malpighiales; Euphorbiaceae.